UUAGUUUAAACUUAUAGGUUGGUAUCUGGUGCUGUUAAAGUGUAGAGUGACUCUUCGUGAAAAUGCCUAAAGUAAAGACAAGCCGCAUUAAAUAUCCAGAAGGAUGGGAGCUUAUUGAGCCUACUUUUCGUGAGCUUGAGGGUAAAAUGAGAGAAGCUGAAAAUGAUCCACAUGAUGGAAAGAGAAAAUGUGAGGCAUUGUGGCCAAUUUUCAAAAUUGCACAUCAAAAGAGUCGGUACGUAUAUGACCUAUAUUACCGGAGGAA
Long non-coding RNA from Dendrobium catenatum, 265 nucleotides. RefSeq lists it as uncharacterized. The record is from RefSeq and is a predicted model, not a curated record. Lineage: Eukaryota; Viridiplantae; Streptophyta; Magnoliopsida; Asparagales; Orchidaceae. The transcript has 2 exons.